RNAcentral lists this ribosomal RNA (526 nucleotides) under uncultured bacterium. RNAcentral's name for it is "bacterial SSU rRNA". It matches the Rfam family "Bacterial small subunit ribosomal RNA", at positions 773 to 1294 of the family's 1533-position model. The record is from RNAcentral.
AGUGAAUAGAUACCCAGGUAGUCCACGCCGUAAACGAUGAAUGUUAGCCGUCGGGCAGUUUACUGUUCGGUGGCGCAGCUAAACGCAUUAAACAUUCCGCCUGGGGAGUACGGUCGCAAGAUUAAAACUCAAAGGAAUUGACGGGGGCCCGGCACAAGCGGUGGAGCAUGUGGUUUAAAUUCGAAGCAACGCGCAGAACCUUACCAGCCCUUGACAUCCCGAUCGCGGAUUACAGAGAUGUUUUCCUUCAGUUCGGCUGGAUCGGAGAUAGGUGCUGCAUGGCUGUCGUCAGCUCGUGUCGUGAGAUGUUGGGUUAAGUCCCGCAACGAGCGCAACCCUCGCCCUUAGUUGCCAGCAUUUGGUUGGGCACUCUAAGGGGACUGCCGGUGAUAAGCCGAGAGGAAGGUGGGGAUGACGUCAAGUCCUCAUGGCCCUUACGGGCUGGGCUACACACGUGCUACAAUGGUGGUGACAGUGGGCAGCGAGACCGCGAGGUCGAGCUGAUCUCCAAAAGCCAUCUCAGUUC